GUGAACAUAACAUGGUCCAGGAAGAGGAUGCGACAGUGCCGGCAGUGGAAGGAGCGCACAGGCCGACCAUCCGUGUCUAACACCUGCACAGUCUCCCUGGAAGAAAGGGUACAUUCUACUGAAGACUAUUUCCUCUGAGCUUCAGAGAAGGGGGCCGUUCUAAUGAAUAUCCGCUUCUAUUGCUUACUGUACCCUUGUUUCAUACAUUAUGUUAUGGAACAACUGCAUCCAUCAAGUUCAAGAACUUAUUAGAUGUCCAGCCAGGGCAUCUCUCCGGCGACAAGCAUAGUUGCAAACGGGACAUUUAAAAGGCUUCUCUCCCGAAUGCAACUUGAUGUGGCGCAACAAGUUCCCCUUCUGGGUGAAGGAAGCUCCACACUGGUUACACUGGAACGGCCUCUCGCCUGGGAAAACAUGGAUGGACAGAGGAUUUUAGAGUGUACUCUGCACUCCCUUCUUCCAUGGGGUCCCCUCUGUCAUACAUCCUGCUAUCGUCCCUCACAGCCUCUCUGAUCUCUGGCCGUGGAGCACCUGGGGACUCAUCAUCGC
Sander lucioperca (pikeperch) is the source of this 549-nucleotide long non-coding RNA. RefSeq lists it as uncharacterized. The record is from RefSeq and is a predicted model, not a curated record. Lineage: Eukaryota; Metazoa; Chordata; Actinopteri; Perciformes; Percidae. The transcript is spliced from 4 exons.